CAUACCUAUUCGAAGGGAUAGGGUCGGUUUGGCCGGAUUUCACACAAGUGUUGCAUGGCUGUCGUCAACUCGUGUCGUGAGAUGUUGGGUUAAGUCCCGCAACGAGCGCAACCCUCAUCCUUAGUUACCAUCAGGUUAUGCUGGGGACUUUAAGGAAACUGCCAGUGGUAAACUGGAGGAAGGUGGGGAUGAUGUCAAGUCAUCAUGGCCCUUAUGGAGUGGGCUACACACGUGCUACAAUGGUGAUUACAAUGGGCUGCAAGGUCGCAAGGCUGAGCUAAUCCUAAAAAAUCAUCUCAGUUCGGAUUGUUCUCUGCAACUCGAGAGCAUGAAGUUGGAAUCGCUAGUAAUCGUGGAUCAGCAUGCCACGGUGAAUACGUUCUCGGGUCUUGUACACACUGCCCGUCACGCCAUGGGAAUUGGUUUCACUCGAAGCU
RNAcentral lists this ribosomal RNA (437 nucleotides) under Wolbachia endosymbiont of Aphis fabae. RNAcentral describes it as "bacterial SSU rRNA". It matches the Rfam family "Bacterial small subunit ribosomal RNA", at positions 992 to 1428 of the family's 1533-position model. The record is from RNAcentral. Lineage: Bacteria; Pseudomonadati; Pseudomonadota; Alphaproteobacteria; Rickettsiales; Anaplasmataceae.